GAUGAACGCUGGCGGCGUGCUUAACACAUGCAAGUCGAACGAGAAAUGGAGACGGAAACCUUCGGGCGGAAGGCUUCAUUUCGAGUGGCGGACGGGUGAGUAACGCGUGGGUAACCUGCCUCAUACAGGGGGAUAACAGUUGGAAACGACUGUUAAUACCGCAUAAGACCACAGCACCGCAUGGUGCGGGGGUAAAAACUCCGGUGGUAUGAGAUGGACCCGCGUUCGAUUAGCCAGUUGGCGGGGUAACGGCCCACCAAAGCGACGAUCGAUAGCCGAUCUGAGAGGAGGACCGGCCACAUUGGGACUGAGACACGGCCCAAACUCCUACGGGAGGCAGCAGUGGGGAAUAUUGCACAAUGGGGGAAACCCUGAUGCAGCGACGCCGCGUGAGUGAAGAAGUACUUCUGUAUGUAAAGCUCUAUCAGCAGGGAAGAAAAUGACGGUACCUGAGUAAGAAGCCCCGGCUAACUACGUG
RNAcentral lists this ribosomal RNA (478 nucleotides) under uncultured bacterium. RNAcentral's name for it is "partial 16S ribosomal RNA". It matches the Rfam family "Bacterial small subunit ribosomal RNA", at positions 28 to 507 of the family's 1533-position model. The record is from RNAcentral.